GGAUAAGCUAUUAAGAGCUAACGGUGGAUGCCUUGGCAUCGGAAGGCGAUGAAGGACGCGGUAAGCUGCGAUAAGCUUCGGGGAGCUGCUAACAGGCUUUGAUCCGGAGAUUUCCGAAUGGGGAAACCCGUCAGGAUUCAUAUCCUGUCAUUGUAUACUGAAUACAUAGGUAUACAAGGCGAACGUGGGGAACUGAAACAUCUUAGUACCUGCAGGAGUAGAAAU
Molecule: ribosomal RNA, 225 nt
Filed under: Anaerolineales bacterium
Lineage: Bacteria; Bacillati; Chloroflexota; Anaerolineae; Anaerolineales
Description: partial 23S ribosomal RNA
Rfam family: Bacterial large subunit ribosomal RNA
Source: RNAcentral